UACCAACAUCCAUGAUGAUGCCAGCAGUGA
RNAcentral lists this non-coding RNA (30 nucleotides) under Rattus norvegicus (Norway rat). The record is from RNAcentral. Lineage: Eukaryota; Metazoa; Chordata; Mammalia; Rodentia; Muridae.